Molecule: ribosomal RNA, 1264 nt
Filed under: Hyphodiscus hymeniophilus
Lineage: Eukaryota; Fungi; Ascomycota; Leotiomycetes; Helotiales; Hyphodiscaceae
Description: eukaryotic LSU rRNA
Rfam family: Eukaryotic large subunit ribosomal RNA
Source: RNAcentral
UGACCUCGGAUCAGGUAGGGAUACCCGCUGAACUUAAGCAUAUCAAUAAGCGGAGGAAAAGAAACCAACAGGGAUUGCCUCAGUAACGGCGAGUGAAGCGGCAACAGCUCAAAUUUGAAAUCUGGCUCUUCUAGGGUCCGAGUUGUAAUUUGUAGAAGAUGCUUUGGGAACGGUUCCGGUCUAAGUUCCUUGGAACAGGACGUCAUAGAGGGUGAGAAUCCCGUAUGCGACUGGUCGCCCGCCCCGUGUAAAGCUCUUUCGACGAGUCGAGUUGUUUGGGAAUGCAGCUCAAAAUGGGUGGUAAAUUUCAUCUAAAGCUAAAUAUUGGCCAGAGACCGAUAGCGCACAAGUAGAGUGAUCGAAAGAUGAAAAGCACUUUGGAAAGAGAGUUAAACAGUACGUGAAAUUGUUGAAAGGGAAGCGCUUGCAACCAGACUUGCACGUAGUUAAUCAUCUGGUGUUCUCACCGGUGCACUUGGCUAUGUUCAGGCCAGCAUCGGUUCAGGUGGUGGGAUAAAGGCCCUGGGAAUGUAGCUUCUUUCGGGGAGUGUUAUAGCCCUCGGUGCAAUGCCGCCUACCUGGACCGAGGACCGCGCUUCGGCUAGGAUGCUGGCGUAAUGGUUGUAAGCGACCCGUCUUGAAACACGGACCAAGGAGUCUAACAUCUAUGCGAGUGUUUGGGUGUCAAACCCAUACGCGUAAUGAAAGUGAACGGAGGUGAGAACCCUUAAGGGUGCAUCAUCGACCGAUCCUGAUGUCUUCGGAUGGAUUUGAGUAAGAGCAUAGCUGUUGGGACCCGAAAGAUGGUGAACUAUGCCUGAAUAGGGUGAAGCCAGAGGAAACUCUGGUGGAGGCUCGCAGCGGUUCUGACGUGCAAAUCGAUCGUCAAAUUUGGGUAUAGGGGCGAAAGACUAAUCGAACCAUUUGCUACUAGGUGGUCAAGAGGCGUGCCAAAGGUGCCGUCCUAGCUCUGUGCAAUGAGCAAUAUCGUCAAAUUGCGGGGACCUCCUGUUAACAUUCAACGCUACCGCCACUCCGUCGAAAGUCGAGUCGGCACCAGGGUAAUGACCUCGGGCAUGGUAAUAACGCGUUGUAUAUACGGAAAAUCCGCAGCAAAGCUCCUAAGGGCAGGCCCUACGGAGGAUGUCCACAGACUAAAUGAUGAUGAGUAUCGUGAACACGGUGCUUAAGAUAUAGUCGAUCCCCCGGGAGACCGGGCCUUAGAUUCCUAAGGGAGACGCCAACGUCUCGGGGAAGCAACUGU